This 475-nucleotide ribosomal RNA is filed under the name uncultured Paracoccaceae bacterium. RNAcentral describes it as "bacterial SSU rRNA". The record is from RNAcentral. Lineage: Bacteria; Pseudomonadati; Pseudomonadota; Alphaproteobacteria; Rhodobacterales; Paracoccaceae.
UUUUCUUUGACAAUGGGGGCAACCCUGAUCCAGCCAUGCCGCGUGAGUGAAGAAGGCCCUAGGGUMGUAAAACUCUUUCACCAGUGAUGAUAAUGACAGUGCAGGUAAAGAAACCCCGGCUAUUCUCCGUGCCAGCAGCCGCGGUAAUACGGAGGGGGUUAGCGUUGUUUGGAAUUACUGGGCGUAAAGCGCACGUAGGCGGAUUAGAAAGUUAGAGGUGAAAUCCCGGGGCUCAACCCCGGAACCGCUUUUAAAACUAUUAGUCUAGAGUUCGAGAGAGGUGAGUGGAAUUCCGAGUGUAGAGGUGAAAUUCGUAGAUAUUGGGAGGAACACCAGUGGAGAAGGCGGCUCAGUGGCUCGAUACUGACGCUGAGGUGCGAAAGUGUGGGGAGCAAACGGGAUUAGAUACCCUUAGUUUCCACACCGUAAACGAUGAAUGCCAGUCGUCGGGUAGUAUACUCUUCGGUGACACACU